GAUGAACGCUGGCUACAGGCUUAACACAUGCAAGUCGAGGGGAAACGACGGGGAAGCUUGCUUCCCCGGGCGUCGACCGGCGCACGGGUGAGUAACGCGUAUCCAACCUGCCUCUGACUGAGGGAUAACCCGUCGAAAGUCGGCCUAAUACCUCAUGGUAUCGUCUGCGGGCAUCCAACGACGAUUAAAGAUUUCAUCGGUCAGGGAUGGGGAUGCGUCUGAUUAGCUUGUUGGCGGGGUAACGGCCCACCAAGGCUACGAUCAGUAGGGGUUCUGAGAGGAAGGUCCCCCACAUUGGAACUGAGACACGGUCCAAACUCCUACGGGAGGCAGCAGUGAGGAAGAGUGGUCAAUGGGCGAGAGCCUGAACCAGCCAAGUAGCGUGCAGGAAGACGGCCCUAUGGGUUGUAAACUGCUUUUAUGCGGGGAUAAAGUGAGGGACGUGUCCCUCAUUGCAGGUACCGCAUGAAUAAGGACCGGCUAAUUCCGUG
This 491-nucleotide ribosomal RNA is filed under the name uncultured bacterium. Its description in RNAcentral is "partial 16S ribosomal RNA". It matches the Rfam family "Bacterial small subunit ribosomal RNA", at positions 28 to 507 of the family's 1533-position model. The record is from RNAcentral.